Molecule: long non-coding RNA, 937 nt
Filed under: Callithrix jacchus (white-tufted-ear marmoset)
Lineage: Eukaryota; Metazoa; Chordata; Mammalia; Primates; Cebidae
Description: lncRNA (ENSCJAG00000057940.2)
Source: RNAcentral
UUGUCUAAUACACAUGGAAAGACUAAAUCACAAGAGGAAAUUUUUCCUGUGACUUCUAGCAACGGUUACCGUGAUGAAAUUUGGGAACCAUAAAAUCAAAGAAAUCUAACCACCUAGCCAAUGCCUGAGACAUCUAUAUUACCAAAUGUUCUCCAAAUCUGCCAGACUCAGUGAACUCCCAGCGUUAUGGUACACUUGAAAGAGUACACAUGACAAGCCAGAAGGAUGAAAAGAACGUGGAAUGGAUAUGUUGAUUCAUACCUUUACAUAAUGGAAAUGAGCUGAGAAGCCUUUACAACAGCAGGAACACUAGCCAGACUUCUGCCAAUCGCUAAUAUGUGACUUUGAGCAAAUUUCAAAGCCAAGAUGUGGAAACAGAAACUGUGCAUUAUAUAAACAAGGCUUGUUACCUCAGACCCAAAGAGAGCCUUGGUCAAACAAUAGUCAAUCAAUAGUCUUCUCAGCAGGUGGAUCAUAGAUUCAAGGCGACAGAUGCUGAUGCAAAGAAUGAGGACACACAGCUGUUAUGAGACACACAUGCGUACUGCUGGUCAAAGCCAACCAUCUCCCGCUUUUUCAACUGUGGAGCUGAUGCAAUCCCAUGGGGGAACCUGUCUGGUAUCCAGAGGAAAAUAGCAUGGAAUGAGAGUCUUAGGAGAAAUUUGACUCACAAGACUAUGGUGGAUGACAAGUCCCAGUAUCUACAUCAGCAAGCUGGAGACCCAGAAGAGGUGAUGGUGUAAUUCCAGUUCAAGUCUAAUGGGCUGGAGACCCAGGAAGAGCCAUUGCUUUCAUUCAAGUCCAAAGGAAAACAAAUAAAAAAAUACUUAUGUCCCAUCUUGACUUUAGUUUUGCAGAAGGAAUUCUUUCAUACAGACUUUUUGUUCUAUUAAAGUCUUCAACUAAUUGGAUGACACCCAUCCAAAUUGGGGAUGGC